AGAACAUCCAUGAUAAAAUGUUCAGUAACAAAGCAAGAUACAAAAUUGUGCAUUCACUAGGCUACAACUAUGAUAAAAAGAAACCUUGUAGAAGAAAAAAAUUAGAAUAUACCAACAUGCUAACAAUAAUUGCAACAAGAUAAUGGAAUAAUAACUUAUUUGCUUUCUCAGCUUUCUAAUAUGGCUUUGCUUAUUUUAUAAUAAAAAAUAUGAGUUGUUUUUUAAAGGGAGGGGUGGAGGUAUUUUGAGCCAGACAGGACCCUGACAGAGCAGCCUUCGCCAAAUGCUUGUGCCAAGGAUACUUUUUCUCCACUGAGGUCCUGCUGGGCUGAGGCUGCUUCUAGCUUAGAGGUUGCAGGUGUCUCAAAGAAAAGCAGUGUUGCCCCACCCAGCCUUCUCUAC
This 402-nucleotide long non-coding RNA is filed under the name Marmota monax (woodchuck). The record is from RNAcentral. Lineage: Eukaryota; Metazoa; Chordata; Mammalia; Rodentia; Sciuridae.